Molecule: long non-coding RNA, 558 nt
Organism: Boleophthalmus pectinirostris (great blue-spotted mudskipper)
Lineage: Eukaryota; Metazoa; Chordata; Actinopteri; Gobiiformes; Gobiidae
Exons: 4
Source: RefSeq, a predicted model, not a curated record
CACUUCCGGAGAAUUUGAGUUGCACAUGUCAUCCAAGGAUGUCCAGAAAUAAGUUAAAUUGAGUUUUGAAUGACUUUUAAAUGUGUCUGUUUGUACGUCAGCGCUGGAGCCACUAGGGGGAGACAACUUCUCAGAUACAGAUUCAGGGGAGUCUUGUUGGAGUCGCGGCAGUGUGCCUACAUGACUGUAGCCCUCACUGGACCUCACAUAGCUGGCUGUUCGAGGACGCAUGGCCUCCAGGUCGUCCGCCGUGGACUCCCGCACUGUGUCCAGUCCUGCUUUGUCUCCAUCAAAGGACACACUGCCUCCUCCAGACUCUGGCUCAGACUUGUCAGUGGAGCGGCGGAAUGACAGGUGGAGGGCCCAUCACCUGAUUACUUCAAAGGAGAUGUUAUUGCUUUACCUGGAAUGUUCCACAUGGUAUACACCCCAUGGAGAAACACAGAUGACCACCUGGCAAAGUUUGAGAUCAGGUCUGUGAAGAGACAAGCGUGCCCAGUGUAAGAAUUUGUGCUAUUCAAUGUAUCUAUAUAUUUUGCCACACCACAUUCUAGACAA